RNAcentral lists this long non-coding RNA (903 nucleotides) under Homo sapiens (human). RNAcentral describes it as "HSALNT0021602". The record is from RNAcentral. Lineage: Eukaryota; Metazoa; Chordata; Mammalia; Primates; Hominidae.
CCCAGCCCGGCUCUCCUGGUCCAGAGAUCUGUUUCACAGGAACCUGAAAACCUGCCAAAUCCAUCACCCAUGAUGAGCAGCAGGACCUAUUCUAUCAAGGAUCGGUAAUUGGGAAUAAGCUUCUCAUUUCAUCCUAAAGGAUUCUGUCACUCCACUGAAAUCUUAAGAGUCUCCAGUGCUUGUUAGGAAAGUGUGGAAGAUGAACCCCUUCUUCAUCCACAGAUCUGCCCUGCCGGUGUUUGACACCCGAGUCUGAAGCUGGCACCUCAUCCAUUCCCUAGUCCUGCCUUUUUGCUCCCCGGGCUCCCUUUCCAGUGCCACCAUCGCCCUCUUUGCACUUCCCUCGCACUCCAUCUCAGAAGCAGACUUCAAGGAGAUCAAAAGAGGCUGCUCCUCAAGGAAGAGCAGGGGUCCUGCGGCUAGAAAGCGGGGGGCAGUCUCUGUCCACACUCAAAAAUCAAAGAAUUAGCCCGACUUAAUCAAACAAAAUAUUACUAUGUUUUCCGAACAACUUAUUCAGCUCAGAGUCAAGCAACUGUGCCCAGAAUAAUGCUUCUGGAACAGAUGGAGAAGGCAUAUGAAGCCAUGCUGGGAAGUCAUGCUUCCAGAAAUGGUGUUCAUGUCAGCCGUGUUCUCCAACAGCAAGAACCAGAAGCGCCUACCACACCAUCCUCUGGGCCCCGCACAUGUGACCACCAGGACCUUUAACAUGUGGCUCUUCCUAAUAUGUAUUAGAAAUAUUACAUAUUUGUUAAUUUGGUGCCCACUUGUAGAGACCCCAUAUUUUUCACCUUAAGGCCAACAUGAACUAAGAGCUGAAGGAAGUGUUGUGGUGACCCAGCAACAGGAGUGAAGGUACAUUCUCUACUUUGGCAUGAUGCUUGUGUUGGAAAGGAUCCUGAG